GAGUUUGAUCCUGGCUCAGAACGAACGCUGGCGGCGUGGAUUAGGCAUGCAAGUCGAGCGCGAAAGCACUUCGGUGCGAGUAGAGCGGCGGAAGGGUGAGUGAUGCGUAGACGACCUACCCUGUAUUCUGGGAUAACGUCGGGAAACUGACGCUAAUACCGGAUAGUCUCACUUUGUCGCAUGGCGAGGUGAUUAAAGGUAGCCUCUGAUUUAAGCUUUCGAUACAGGAGGGGUCUACGUCCUAUUAGCUUGAUGGUGGGGUAACGGCCCACCAUGGCGGUGAUGGGUAGCCGGCCUUAGCGGGCGAUCGGCCACACUGGGACUGAGACACUGCCCAGACUCCUACGGGAGGCUGCAGUCGAGAAUCUUCCGCAAUGGGCGCAAGCCUGACGGAGCGACGCCGCGUGGGGGAUGAAGGCCUUCGGGUUGUAAACCCCUGUCACCGGUUAGGAAUGGCCUUGCGAUUAAGAGUCGCUUGGUUUGACAAAAGCCGGAGAGGAAGCCACGGCUAACUUCGUGCCAGCAGCCGCGGUAAGACGAAGGUGGCAAGCGUUGUUCGGAAUCACUGGGCAUAAAGCGCACGCAGGCGGCGCGAUCAGUCGGAUGUGAAAUCCCUCGGCCCAACCGGGGAACUGCGUCCGAUACUGUCGGGCUUGAGAUCGGGAGAGGUGCACGGAAUUCCGGGUGGAGCGGUGAAAUGCGUUGAUAUCCGGAGGAACACCGGCGGCGAAGGCGGUGCACUGGUCCGAUUCUGACGCUGAGGUGCGAAAGCUAGGGUAGCAAACGGGAUUAGAUACCCCGGUAGUCCUAGCCGUAAACGAUGGGCACUAAGUAGUGGAUCACCUAACGUUUCACUGCUGGAGUUAAUAUUUUAAGUGCCCCGCCUGGGGAGUAUGGUCGCAAGGCUGAAACUCAAAGGAAUUGACGGGGGCUCACACAAGCGGUGGAGCAUGUUGAUUAAUUCGAAGCAACGCGCAGAACCUUACCUGGGCUUGACAUGGACGUGGUACGGACCCGAAAGGGCGAGGACUCUCUUUUGAGGGAGCGUUCACAGGUGUUGCAUGGCUGUCGUCAGCUCGUGUCGUGAGAUGUCGGGUUAAGUCCCUUAACGAGCGAAACCCCUAUCGUUAGUUACCAGCGCGUCAUGGCGGGGACUCUAGCGAGACUGCCGGUGUUAAACCGGAGGAAGGUGGGGAUGACGUCAAGUCCUCAUGGCCCUUACGCCCAGGGCUUCAAACGUGCCACAAUGGCCGGUACAGAGGGAAGCGAACCCGCGAGGGGGUGCAAAUCCCUGAAAGCCGGUCUCAGUUCGGAUUGGAGUCUGCAACUCGACUCCAUGAAGCUGGAAUCGCUAGUAACCGCGGAUCAGCUACGCCGCGGUGAAUAUGUUCCUGAGCCUUGUACACACCGCCCGUCAAGCCACGAGAGCUGGGAGUACCCGAAGUCGCUGACCCAACCUUAGGGAGGGAGGCGCCGACGGUAAGCUCGGUGAUUGGGACUAAGUCGUAACAAGGUAGCC
This 1519-nucleotide ribosomal RNA is filed under the name uncultured prokaryote. Its description in RNAcentral is "partial 16S ribosomal RNA". It matches the Rfam family "Bacterial small subunit ribosomal RNA". The record is from RNAcentral.